Homo sapiens (human) is the source of this 1176-nucleotide long non-coding RNA. Ensembl annotates it as long intergenic non-protein coding RNA 970. The record is from Ensembl. Lineage: Eukaryota; Metazoa; Chordata; Mammalia; Primates; Hominidae.
CGGAGAGCAGGAAUGGCAGGAGAGCGGUGAGAGACCUCCGUCCCAGUGAGGAUGACAUGUUCUAACUCAGGAAAUGAAUAGAUGCUCUUGCGAUUGAAGAAAAAUCUACGCUGGAGGCAGACAGGCUGGCAGAUAAGGAGACUGAAGCAUCUAGAGUUGGAGUAAUUUCCACAAGAUCACAGGUUAGUAUGAAAGAGGCAAGAUUUCACUCUGUCACCCAGACUGGAGUGCAGUGGCACAAACAUAGCUCACUGAAGCCUCAAACUCCUGGGCUCAAGAGAUCCUUCUGCUUCAGCCUCCUGAGUAGCUGGGACUUCAGAGCUGAAACCACAGGAAGAGGCCAAUAUGGACUUCUCUACUACUUUAUUUCCCCUGAGCCUGGUCAGCUUCUUCCAAGGAGAUUACUGGGAGGAAGCUUCUAGGAUUUCUGGAUCAAAAUGAUAGAAUUGUAAAGUCAAAAGGAGAAAAAUUGAGGAUUGGCUGGUUUGUAUUAUCAUCAGUUCUCAAAUGUUUAUAAGGGCCAUCUAAGAGUGAAACGACAAUGGAAACACCCGAAGAAGGAGGAGGAUAAGGAGAGAGAAAAGAAGAAUAAGAGGUAGAAGAAAAAGAAGAAUCAUGGAGACUUUUGAAUGCUCUUUGUCAGAAUCUCCAAAAUAUCUCAAGUCCAUUAUCUACUAGGAGGUACCAGACGUGCUCCAACAAUGGGCUGGUGGCAGGAUUCCAGAGCCGCUACUUCGAGUCAGUGCUGGAUCGGGAGUGGCAGUUUUACUGUUGUCGCUACAGCAAGAGGUGCCCAUAUUCCUGCUGGCUAACAACAGAAUAUCCAGGUCACUAUGGUGAGGAAAUGGACAUGAUUUCCUACAAUUAUGAUUACUAUAUCCGAGGAGCAACAACCACUUUCUCUGCAGUGGAAAGGGAUCGCCAGUGGAAGUUCAUAAUGUGCCGGAUGACUGAAUACGACUGUGAAUUUGCAAAUGUUUAGAUUUGCCACAUACCAAAUCUGGGUGAAAGGAAAGGGGCCGGGGACAGGAGGGUGUCCACAUAUGUUAACAUCAGUUGGAUCUCCUAUAGAAGUUUCUGCUGCUCUCUUUCCUUCUCCCUGAGCUGGUAACUGCAAUGCCAACUUCCUGGGCCUUUCUGACUAGUAUCACACUUCUAAUAAAAUCCACAAUUAAA